Sarcophilus harrisii (Tasmanian devil) is the source of this 1300-nucleotide long non-coding RNA. RefSeq lists it as uncharacterized. NCBI's taxonomy places the organism in Eukaryota, Metazoa, Chordata, Mammalia, Dasyuromorphia, Dasyuridae. The record is from RefSeq and is a predicted model, not a curated record. The transcript has 3 exons.
GAAGCUGGCCAAGCCUUCUAACUGCAGGCUGAUGGGCUGACUUGGAGCUCCCAAAAACCCCUCCAGGGAGCCCCUGAGCCCCCUCUGUUGCCUCAGGGAGGUCCCCAGCCCUUCGCUGCCACCCCUCGAUGGCCAUCCCUUGGCCCCACUGCCCAGUGGCUUCUACUGGCACCCUGGGGGGGGGGGGGCUAAUGCCCUGGGCUAAUCCCCUAAUCCCUUCCUCCCCCAUCCUCCUCCCACAUCCUCCAGGGGGCAGCAGCCCGGGAGCCUGAGGCCUAGGAGCAGCUUGGAGUCAGGCCCAGUGCCCUCCGACCUUCUCCUGAUGAGCUGGGCUCCUGCGGCUGAGGCGGCCAAACCUCCCUGAAGCCCUAGGGAGCCCCAUCUCCUCCCCCCCCCCCGCCCCGGCCUUGCUCCCCCCUGUGGAGCUGCUGGCCGCCCGGCAGCUGAAACCUGCCCUCUGGGGGCCUGUGGAGACGCUGGCUGCCCGGCCACCUGCUUGGGAGCCUCCCCGAGGAGUCAGUGACAUGUCUGUUCAUCUGGGAAGUGGGAGGAGCCAUAAACCACACUUGUCCAUGGGGGAAGUGGCUAGCUCGGCUCCCCUCAGUCUCCUGGGGCGGCUGAGAGGAUGGAGGAGAGGAAGACAUAGAAGGGGGAGUGCUCCCAAACCAAGGUGGCCACGGGCAGUUGGGGACCAGCCUUGUUGGGCAUCCGCUGGGCAUGCCCUGAAAAGAGCUGGGAUGCAGAGAGGGUACUGCCAGGUAUUUGAGACCACCUUGAACAGCGGAGCCCACUCUCCCGAGGUGCCAUUGGAAGAAUAAAACGUGAGCCAGUCCUGGCUGCAGGAUACAGAAGAGUCUGCUUCCGGGCCAGUUUGUCCUUGGAGGAUACUUCCACCUCCCAGGCCCUCAGGUUGGAAACCUUGGAGUCGCCCUGGACACCACACUCUCUCACCCACUAUCUCUCAGCCAUGUGCCAAGGCCUGUGCCUGUCACCUUGGCAGCAUCUUUCCCCUGCUACCCCAACCCUCCUCCCAGACCCUCCUUCAGCCAUACCUGGACCCAGACUGAGGCAGUCCGAGUUUCUGCCUGUCUCACUCCAGCCCCAUUCUGGGACUCAGUGAUCCUGCUAGCUCUGGGCCCCCCUCCCCCAAUGUACUCCAAGACCAAAUGAAAAAUUCGGUUUGUUAUCUAAGUCGUUCAUCACGUGAGCCCCUCUCUUGGUCUUCUUACUGCCCCCCCCCAAUAAAAGAACACCCUCCAAGAGGUACCUGUCUCCAGACACAGAUUGCCUCCCGGCUGUG